GGCCCCCAGAUUCCUCCUCCUGUUUGUGAGCUCCUAAGGUGACCCUUUGGCUCCUGAGCAACCAUGACACCCUUGGCUACACCAAAGCUCAUUGAAAAUCAUUACAGAUGGACUCCAUGAACCAGUGUUUAGAAAGCGCUGCUAUAUGUUUUUAGGAAUACAUAGGGAAUUUGGUAGGAAGAUUACUCUGCCUCAGGCAUAUUCGGAGUCUCAUGGGGGUAUCUGUGAAGAAGACGAGCACAAGAAAGCCUAAGUUCAGUACACACAGUAGGACUGAAUCAGAAUUCUUAUGGUCACAAAAGCCUCUUCUGAGGGUAAGAAAUCAGCAAAAACUCCAAAUCAGCAAAGGAAACAGACUUAAAAUACAUGCUCAUUUCCAAAAGGUCUGACUCCAUUCUUCUUUUUGCCAAUUUUUAGAUCCCAUAUAAUCUUGGAUAGAAAAAUGAUCUAUACUGCAUCAGAAUCAUGGAACCUAUUGGCAAAGGGCAUUCUGUCCCUUCAAUUGUAGCUUCAACCUCAUUGUCUAAUAAAUAAUAACUACCA
Homo sapiens (human) is the source of this 543-nucleotide long non-coding RNA. Ensembl annotates it as long intergenic non-protein coding RNA 2650. NCBI's taxonomy places the organism in Eukaryota, Metazoa, Chordata, Mammalia, Primates, Hominidae. The record is from Ensembl.